GAUGAACGCUGGCGGCGUGCCUAAUACAUGCAAGUCGAACGCUGAAGGAGGAGCUUGCUCUUCUGGAUGAGUUGCGAACGGGUGAGUAACGCGUAGGUAACCUGCCUGGUAGCGGGGGAUAACUAUUGGAAACGAUAGCUAAUACCGCAUGACAACAGUUAUUGCAUGAUAACUGUUUAAAAGGGGCAACUGCUCCACUACCAGAUGGACCUGCGUUGUAUUAGCGAGUUGGUGAGGUAACGGCUCACCAAGGCGACGAUACAUAGCCGACCUGAGAGGGGGAGUGGCCACACUGGGACGGAGACACGCCACAGACGCCUUCGGGAGGGAGCAGUAGGGAAUCGUGGGCAAGGGGCGGAAGUCUGAGCGAGCAACGCCGCGGGAGGGAAGAAGGGUGUCGGAUCGGAAAGCUCGGUUGUAAGAGUAGAAAGAGUGUGAGAGUGGAAAGUUCACACUGUGACGGUAACUUACCAGAAAGCGACGGCUAACUACGUG
This 495-nucleotide ribosomal RNA is filed under the name uncultured bacterium. RNAcentral's name for it is "partial 16S ribosomal RNA". It matches the Rfam family "Bacterial small subunit ribosomal RNA", at positions 28 to 507 of the family's 1533-position model. The record is from RNAcentral.